ACAAUGCACUUUUCUUUGUGCAUUCACACGAUGCAUUUUCUUUUCUUAUCACCAAACUGUUUUGAAAGAUAAAAGUACUUCCUGAAUAUGUGGAUGGUGAGCCACGUGAAUGGAAGACAUGGAGAUAUGGACUGUUAACACCUUGUCAAACAUUUAUUGUCCCUUCCACCUCUAAACUUCUGUGAUAAUAGGUGAACAGGACCCACGUGGUGCAGAAUACUGCGAUACACACUGCGGAAUAAUUCAGAACAACACGUGGAUUGCUCAGUACAACUUGUUCAUCACAUCCUCCUGUUCACUGAAGAAUUAUGGAAAUAUUCUCUGAGCUGCUUUCCUCCCUGCCCAACGAGUCAUCUCUGUGUGAAAGGCCAAGCUUAUAAAUCCUGAAGAAAGAGACAUUAUACAAAUGCAAGCUGUUGUCACAACAAUGAUAAGAAAUCAGGAGUCGAAAGAUGUGGAGUAAGGGGGAAUUUCAGAGAAACCACAAAACACAAAAUAGGAAACAGAGACAGGAGAAGAUUGCUAUGACAAAAUUGCAGAAGGUGAAAUCUUUGGCAGCCUCUUAUUUCUCUGGAGAAUAUGAUAUUGUCAGGCUGAGGUGGAAGAAUCACAUGGUCAUACUGUUGAAGAGGUCUUGAAACAUUGGGCUUUCCUCUACAAGCGGAAGGAUAGCACUGGCAGCCAUCCACUGGCCCAGCAAUAUCCUGGAUUGAGACGAUAUCAUUUGCAUUACUUGCUGAAUGAAACAUAGUGAAAAUGACUGCAGAUAACCUCAACUAAGUCCAAGAUAUCAUUUUCAAAUCUGGACCAGCCCUUGCCAUCUAGACUGAACAGAGAUUCCAGUUUCCAGGAGAGUAGAUGGAGUAAUGAUAAAAGCACCUCCCAAAACUUUUGCCUUGCUCCAUCAAAACUUAUAAAAUCUUGGGAAGAGGAACUGUGGCCCAUCACUGAUCAUUUCAUCUAUUAAGUGACCACUUAUUGUCUUAUAAUAGGAGAUGUUCUGGAAACAUGCAUUGAAUCGAAGUGGCUUUGAGGAAGCAUGAAGAGAAAACAGGAUGGCAUCCUUUUGGCACCAUUUCUUAUGCUAUAAUAAGGAUUCCUUCUGUUUACACAUAAAACAGAAGAGUUUAAUCACCCCAGCAAUCUUUAACUUGGUAAUGAAGGCCAUAAAUUAAAUUUUAAGCAAAGUUAAAGAAGAUGAGAUGAAAUAUAAAACAAAAACAUCAUCAGAAUCUGCCCAGGAACAAUAUUCUUGACACCAAACCAUGACAUUAUGGGGCUCAGUUGUUUGUUUCUAGGGCAGCCCCUUGUUUUAUGUGCCAAAUAGCAUUUCCCUAAAUAAAACUGCAUGGAACAAAAUGCCA
Molecule: long non-coding RNA, 1364 nt
Filed under: Homo sapiens (human)
Lineage: Eukaryota; Metazoa; Chordata; Mammalia; Primates; Hominidae
Description: long intergenic non-protein coding RNA 1478
Source: RNAcentral